This 550-nucleotide long non-coding RNA is filed under the name Coturnix japonica (Japanese quail). RNAcentral describes it as "lncRNA (ENSCJPG00005001179.1)". The record is from RNAcentral. Lineage: Eukaryota; Metazoa; Chordata; Aves; Galliformes; Phasianidae.
AUGGUUAUUCAUCUCCUUCAAAUACACCCACUGGACAACUGGGACAGAUACAAGCUUCAAAGGAAGGUACCUCCCAGCUAUCUGCAUCUGCGUGAGGCACGUGCCAAACAAAACCAGGCUGCACCAACUUCAGUUUUGAACUGUAACUGUUCAAACACUGUAUUGCUUAGGUUUAACCCUGGCCUUGUGAUUUGUCAAGGCAAAAUGUCCAUUGAAAUCAUUGUCCUCAAUUCUUGUUUCACCUCUUGGUGUCUACAAUUCGUCCUUAAAAAAGAAGUGAGAACUAAUAUAAUGGAGUUAAGUUCCAGUGGUCAGCCCUGCGAAAGUUAGAAAGGAGUGGGGAGAAGAAAUAGUGGAGCUGGCAACAUCUUUGAGACCUCCAGGUGGAGCAUCUUGUUCUACUGAUGGCUUUAGAAACACUUGCCCUCUGUUUCUUUCAGCUGAGCCCAGAAAACUUCAGUGACAUCUGGGAGAGAAGUGGUGAGUAUGCACUGAUUUUGGAAGAGCCUUAUUUCAGGUAUGGCCCCUUAAGUUUCCUGGAUCAUGACAA